RNAcentral lists this long non-coding RNA (1340 nucleotides) under Marmota monax (woodchuck). Lineage: Eukaryota; Metazoa; Chordata; Mammalia; Rodentia; Sciuridae. The record is from RNAcentral.
GAAGAUCCUGAUGGGAAUAGUGGAGUUUCUAAACCUUAUAUGUUAGAAUCUUUACCAGUAAAUCUGUGGGGAAGAGAUAUAUUAAACAAAAUAGGAUUAUCAUUAAUAACUCCAAAUUCUAUGAGAUCGUCUGAGGAAAUUAAUCAAGGGUUUCCCCCUAGAGAUAAUGAAAGAAAUUAUCAGAACGAGUAUCUGCUUACAAACCAGUCUCCUGACGGAGACUAGUAAAUGCUUCAGACCAAAAUUUUUUCUAGGGGCCCUGAGUGUCUCCCUAAUCCAAAAGACAGAAAAAAAAAAUCACCUGGCUCACAGAAGAGCAUAUAUGGAUUUCUCAGUGGCCUAUCUCAGGGGAAAAACUUAAGAUAUUCAUGUUUUAGUUGAGGAACAACUUUAGGCUGGUCAUAUAAAAUCAAUGCUUAGUCCUUGAAACACCCCCAUUUUUGUUAUUUUAAAAAAGUCAGGUAAUUGGAGUUUACUAUUGGGCCAAUAAUAUAUCAUCCAUGAAAUGAAUAAUAUAUGCAUCAGGAAAGUUAUUUUUUAUAGGAGUUAUCACUUGACCCACAAAUUUUUGACAUAAAGUUGGACUAUUACACAUUCCUUGAGGCAAAACCUUCCAGCAAUAUCUCUUAACAGGUUCUUUAAAAUUAAUUGUUGGGAUACUAAAAGCAAAUUUUUUAUAAUCCUCAGGAUGCAACCUUAUUGAGAAAAAAACAAUCUUUUAGAUAUAUCACCAUUAAGCUAUAAUUUAAAGGAAUUUCUGUAGGAGAAGGAAGUCCAGGCUGCAAUGAUCCCAUAGGCUGAAUUGCAUGGUUUGUUGCCCUUAAAUCCAAGAUAUUCAAAAUAAUAGAGCUGAUUUUUCAGAUCCUUCUUCUGUAGCUAAUCAAAUAUUAAAGGAAUUAAGUGGAUUUAACCCUGAAACAUUCUUAAACACUCGGCCUGGUACAUUAUUGCAUUGUUCUCUUUGCUGUUAAUUCUCUUUUGUGUUGUAAUUAUAGGAUGGCGAGUCUUCAGAGUGAGAGUGCAGAGACUCGAGAGAGUAAAUCAUCACCUGCUUUUUAAAAGAAAAAAGGGGGGAAUAUGUGGGAGGCCAUCCUUGCACAUGAUUUGAGUUACCUCCCUGGUUGGGUGAGAGGUACUUAGGUACAUCUUGUGUCCAGAGCUUUCUCCACCCUUCUCAGGUCUAAGGGCUUGUUGGUGUGGAGGCAUGUCUGGCCACUACCCCGAAGACCCAAUCGUCGCCCCUGACCUUGGGACGCUGCCCCCCUUAAUCUUCAUUGGAUGGGAUUUUCCCCAGAAUUUUUUGUUCCCCAAUAAAAGUCCACUCCAUGGCAUGUUUUCUC